RNAcentral lists this ribosomal RNA (254 nucleotides) under uncultured bacterium. RNAcentral's name for it is "partial 16S ribosomal RNA". It matches the Rfam family "Bacterial small subunit ribosomal RNA", at positions 524 to 776 of the family's 1533-position model. The record is from RNAcentral.
UACGUAGGGGGCGAGCGUUACCCGGAUUUACUGGGCGUAAAGCGCGUGUAGGCGGCUGGCCAAGCGUGAUGUGAAAUCUUCGGGCUUAACCCGAAAACUGCAUUGCGAACUGGUCUGGCUAGAGUGUGUGAGAGGGUAGUGGAAUUCCCGGUGUAGUGGUGAUAUGCGUAGAUAUCGGGAGGAACACCUGUGGCGAAGGCGGCUUUCUGGGCCUUACCUGACGCUGAGACGCGAAAGCGUGGGGAGCGAACCGG